This 301-nucleotide ribosomal RNA is filed under the name uncultured bacterium. RNAcentral's name for it is "partial 16S ribosomal RNA". It matches the Rfam family "Bacterial small subunit ribosomal RNA", at positions 509 to 807 of the family's 1533-position model. The record is from RNAcentral.
CAGCCGCCACGGGAAUACGUAGGUGGCAAGCGUCGUCCGGAACUAUUGGGCGUAAAGGGCUCGCAGGCGGUUUCUUAAGUCUGAUGUGAAAGCCCCCGGCUCAACCGGGGAGGGUCAUUGGAAACUGGGAAACUUGAGUGCAGAAGAGGAGAGUGGAAUUCCACGUGUAGCGGUGAAAUGCGUAGAGAUGUGGAGGAACACCAGUGGCGAAGGCGACUCUCUGGUCUGUAACUGACGCUGAGGAGCGAAAGCGUGGGGAGCGAACAGGAUUAGAUACCCCUGUAGUCCCUGUCUCUUAUAC